AGGCAGAGCCGGCCCAUUGGCCAAGCUGGUGAAGCAUCAGCUUGCGGCCCUCGAUAUUAUAUAUAAAAUUCGGCCUUAUUUUACAAAAUUGUUCUUUAGUCCAGUGGUACAUGUAGUGCCAGUUAUGAGUGAUGCACCCCUGUUCGAAUAUCUUACUUGUAUUCAACCAGCCUUUUAUUAUUUUUUGAUUAUGGCCUGCAAAAUUUUAGAGACGGCUCUGGUUAGAGGACACACAUCAAAAUUGUCCCUUGGAAUAUGUCAAAGUAAGUUUUCGAUAGACUAGAUCUACUUUAUAUAUUUUGUCCAUCAUAUAUUACUUAGUCGAACUCCGGAUCGGACAGUAAAUUGGUGCUACUUAACCACUAUACUAAAGGACCUUCUCCAAAUGCUGCCCCUAAAAAUUAACUUUAAAUCUGCUGCCUAAAGCCCUUGCUUAUUGGGCUUUAGGCACGGGCCGGGCCUGAGUGACAAUUGUGACUUGGCUGUGAAGAACAAAAGAUAGAUGCUACUCAUGCUACCUUAUAUAGUUUACUCAUGAGUGACAAUUGUGACUUGUUUGUGAAGAACACCAAUUUGUUAACAAAAACAAUCUAAACGUUAACCAAAAUUCAAACUUUGUGUGCACAUUUUUCUCAUUAUAUAAAAAUACACAUUAAUGUACUACUUUAUUAAUAAAAAAAUACGCAUUCUUUUUAAGAAAAAUUAGAUUAGAUACACAAGACUUUUAAUGUUUAAAAUCCAUAUAUACAAUAGGAGGGGAAAACGGGGAAAAUCAACCCAAACUAUUUUCCGAAGGUAUUUUCAUACCCAAACUCGCGUACUCUGAAUUUUACAACCCAAACCAGCUUUCAAUUCAAAUAACCCACCUGAACCACAUCAAAUUUUGCCAAUUUCAACAUCGACGUUAACAGUAUCCUUGCUCAUCUUGAAAAUUUGGAUAAUCAAGCUUAAGCUUCUGUAAAAACUAAGAGAAAUUAAGCUUAAGCUUAAGCUUAAUUGUCCAAAUCUUCAAGAUGGGCAGGGAUACUGUUAUGUCGAGGUUGAAAUUGACAAAAUUUGAUAUAGUUCAGGUUGGUUAUUUGAAUUGAAAGCUGGGUUGGGUUGUAAAAUUCAGAGUACGUGAGUUUGGGUAUGAAAAUACCUUCGGGAAAUAGUUUGGGUUGUUUUCCUCGUUUUCCCUACAAUAGAAUAGUUCUCUCUCCAUUUGGAAUGUCCACCUACGCAUCCACAUAAGCAUUAUUCUUUUUACAUUAAAGUAAAUUUAAUGAAUACUUAUGUUAUUUAUAAUUAAUAGAAAUUUAUAUUAUAACAUAUGUAAAAUAAAUUAAAUUUUAAAAUAGUAAAACCAAAACUAAGAAAAUUUGUAUAAGUAAUUAUAAUGCGAGUUUUAGAAUGCAAGUACAUUUUAAAUGCAUUGUAGAAUAAUACACAAUUUCAGUACGUCAAACGGUUGUGAAGAACACCAAUUUGUUUAGAAGAACACAAAUUGGUGUUCUUCACAACCAAGUCACAAUUGUCACUCAUGAGUAAACUAUAAAAGGUAGCAUGAGUAGCAUCUAUCUUCAAACAAAUUGAUGUUCUUCACAACCAUUAAGACAAUAAGAACACAAAAUUUUACUAAACCGUUUGGUUACGACGUCGGAAUUGAAAACGAUCGAGUAAGAGAGAAGCACAAAAUCAAACCUGAGAGUCGAGAGAAGCACAAAAAUCAAACCUAAGAAGCGAUAGAAGCAGAAAAAUCAAACUUGAUGAGGAGCCAAUGAUCAGAAACACUUGAACGCAUAAAUCGCGAAAUCCAAAACCAGGAAGCAGAACGGAGCGAGCGAUCCUCAAGUUUUCAAAAUCAAAGUGGGG
This 1854-nucleotide long non-coding RNA is filed under the name Capsella rubella. Its description in RNAcentral is "long non-coding RNA (CRUB_LNC002319)". The record is from RNAcentral. Lineage: Eukaryota; Viridiplantae; Streptophyta; Magnoliopsida; Brassicales; Brassicaceae.